AUUGAACGCUGGCGGCAGGCUUAACACAUGCAAGUCGAGCGGGGGAAGGUAGCUUGCUACUGGACCUAGCGGCGGACGGGUGAGUAAUGCUUAGGAAUCUGCCUAUUAGUGGGGGACAACAUCUCGAAAGGGAUGCUAAUACCGCAUACGUCCUACGGGAGAAAGCAGGGGAUCUUCGGACCUUGCGCUAUUAGAUGAGCCUAAGUCGGAUUAGCUAGUUGGUAGGGUAAAGGCCUACCAAGGCGACGAUCUGUAGCGGGUCUGAGAGGAUGAUCCGCCACACUGGGACUGAGACACGGCCCAGACUCCUACGGGAGGCAGCAGUGGGGAAUAUUGGACAAUGGGGGGAACCCUGAUCCAGCCAUGCCGCGUGUGUGAAGAAGGCCUUAUGGUUGUAAAGCACUUUAAGCGAGGAGGAGGCUACUCUAGUUAAUACCUAGGGAUAGUGGACGUUACUCGCAGAAUAAGCACCGGCUAACUCUGUGCCAGCCGCCGCGGUAA
Molecule: ribosomal RNA, 501 nt
Filed under: uncultured bacterium
Lineage: Bacteria
Description: partial 16S ribosomal RNA
Rfam family: Bacterial small subunit ribosomal RNA
Source: RNAcentral